This 520-nucleotide ribosomal RNA is filed under the name uncultured bacterium. RNAcentral describes it as "bacterial SSU rRNA". It matches the Rfam family "Bacterial small subunit ribosomal RNA", at positions 991 to 1509 of the family's 1533-position model. The record is from RNAcentral.
GAGAAUUUAGCAGAGAUGCUUUAGUGCCUUCGGGAACUCUGAGACAGGUGCUGCAUGGCUGUCGUCAGCUCGUGUUGUGAAAUGUUGGUUAAGCCCGUUCAACGAGCGCAACCCCUAUCCUUUGUUGCCAGCGAUUCGGUCGGGAACUCAAAGGAGACUGCCGGUGAUAAACCGGAGGAAGGUGGGGAUGACGUCAAGUCAUCAUGGCCCUUACGAGUAGGGCUACACACGUGCUACAAUGGCGCAUACAAAGAGAAGCGACCUCGCGAGAGCAAGCGGACCUCAUAAAAGUGCGUCGUACGUCCGGAUUGGAGUCUGCAACUCGACUCCAUGAAGUCGGAAUCGCUAGUAAUCGUAGAUCAGAAUGCUACGGUGAAUACGUUCCCGGGCCUUGUACACACCGCCCGUCACACCAUGGGAGUGGGUUGCAAAAGAAGUAGAUAGCUUAACCUUCGGGAGGGCGUUUACCACUUUGUGAUUCAUGACUGGGGUGAAGUCGUAACAAGGUAAGCGUAGCGAG